UUUUUGAAUAUGCUGGUAAAAUACAAACACUUGACUAAUUCUACGUUCAAGUUGGGUAUUUGCGUUCCAUCUAAAUGUACCGAAGAAGAUGUGAGAAAUAUACUGAGCUCUGAAACUCUACGACCAAUUGGAAAGAUUGAAGUCUCAUAUUGCGAAGUAAAAGAA
This is a non-coding RNA of Parasteatoda tepidariorum (common house spider), 165 nucleotides long. The record is from RefSeq and is a predicted model, not a curated record. Lineage: Eukaryota; Metazoa; Arthropoda; Arachnida; Araneae; Theridiidae.